UGUGAGUGAAUUCCUUUCUUUUUUCGCAGCGCCCGCUUAGAAUAUGAUUCUUUCCUCCUUUUGGUCAGGAUGGUGUCGUGAGGACUCAGCUGGCGGCCAUUCUGGAGAACCAGCCGCGCGUCCACUUCGAGGAAGGAAUCGCCACGAACUUCACUGUAGAACAAGUAAGAAGAAAAACUCGAGAGAUUUCUUUCAAUAAGCUGGAAGGAAGGAGGAACUCUUACUUUGCUUUGCUUUUGUUUGCGCAGGCCAUGCAAGGCAUGCGGAGCUCCAGGUUUUGUUUGCACCCAGCCGGCGACACGCCUUCCUCGUGCAGGCUCUUUG
RNAcentral lists this long non-coding RNA (324 nucleotides) under Selaginella moellendorffii. RNAcentral's name for it is "long non-coding RNA (SMOE_LNC000666)". Lineage: Eukaryota; Viridiplantae; Streptophyta; Lycopodiopsida; Selaginellales; Selaginellaceae. The record is from RNAcentral.